Molecule: ribosomal RNA, 824 nt
Filed under: uncultured bacterium
Lineage: Bacteria
Description: bacterial SSU rRNA
Rfam family: Bacterial small subunit ribosomal RNA
Source: RNAcentral
AGUCGAGCGGGGAAGGUAGCUUGCUACUGGACCUAGCGGCGGACGGGUGAGUAAUGCUUAGGAAUCUGCCUAUUAGUGGGGGACAACAUUCCGAAAGGAAUGCUAAUACCGCAUACGCCCUACGGGGGAAAGCAGGGGAUCUUCGGACCUUGCGCUAAUAGAUGAGCCUAAGUCGGAUUAGCUAGUUGGUGGGGUAAAGGCCUACCAAGGCGACGAUCUGUAGCGGGUCUGAGAGGAUGAUCCGCCACACUGGGACUGAGACACGGCCCAGACUCCUACGGGAGGCAGCAGUGGGGAAUAUUGGACAAUGGGCGGAAGCCUGAUCCAGCCAUGCCGCGUGUGUGAAGAAGGCCUUUUGGUUGUAAAGCACUUUAAGCGAGGAGGAGGCUCCUUUAGUUAAUACCUAAAGUGAGUGGACGUUACUCGCAGAAUAAGCACCGGCUAACUCUGUGCCAGCAGCCGCGGUAAUACAGAGGGUGCGAGCGUUAAUCGGAUUUACUGGGCGUAAAGCGUGCGUAGGCGGCUUUUUAAGUCGGAUGUGAAAUCUCUGAGCUUAACUUAGGAAUUGCAUUCGAUACUGGAAAGCUAGAGUAUGGGAGAGGAUGGUAGAAUUCCAGGUGUAGCGGUGAAAUGCGUAGAGAUCUGGAGGAAUACCGAUGGCGAAAGCAGCCAUCUGGCCUAAUACUGACGCUGAGUACGAAAGCAUGGGGAGCAAACAGGAUUAGAUACCCUGGUAGUCCAUGCCGUAAACGAUGUCUACUAGCCGUUGGGCCUUUGAGGCUUUAGUGCGCAGCUAACGCGAAUAAGUAGACGCCUGGGGAGUA